UACAGAGGGUGCGAGCGUUAAUCGGAAUUACUGGGCGUAAAGCGCACGUAGGCGGCUUGGUAUGUCGGGUGUGAAAUCCCCGGGCUCAACCUGGGAACUGCAUCCGAAACUGCCUUGCUAGAGUAUGGGAGAGGGAAGUGGAAUUUCCGGUGUAGCGGUGAAAUGCGUAGAUAUCGGAAGGAACAUCAGUGGCGAAGGCGACUUCCUGGACCAAUUCUGACGCUGAGUGAGCGAAAGCCAGGGGAGCAAACGGG
RNAcentral lists this ribosomal RNA (254 nucleotides) under uncultured bacterium. RNAcentral's name for it is "partial 16S ribosomal RNA". It matches the Rfam family "Bacterial small subunit ribosomal RNA", at positions 524 to 776 of the family's 1533-position model. The record is from RNAcentral.